RNAcentral lists this non-coding RNA (89 nucleotides) under Phocoenobacter skyensis. The record is from RNAcentral. Lineage: Bacteria; Pseudomonadati; Pseudomonadota; Gammaproteobacteria; Pasteurellales; Pasteurellaceae.
CUCAAUGGUAGCGUGUAAUGGGAAAGGUUUAGCCCUUUGCUGUAUUCCUUGUGUUGCAGUUUGUCACCCCGUUACACGUUACCGCCCAA